Molecule: transfer RNA, 76 nt
Filed under: Desulfonatronospira sp. MSAO_Bac3
Lineage: Bacteria; Pseudomonadati; Thermodesulfobacteriota; Desulfovibrionia; Desulfovibrionales; Desulfonatronovibrionaceae
Description: tRNA-Ala
Rfam family: tRNA
About the family: Transfer RNA (tRNA) molecules are approximately 80 nucleotides in length. Their secondary structure includes four short double-helical elements and three loops (D, anti-codon, and T loops).
Source: RNAcentral
GGGGGCGUAGCUCAGCUGGGAGAGCGCAGCCUUCGCAAGGCUGAGGUAGCGGGUUCAAGUCCCGCCGCCUCCACCA